AUUGAACGCUGGCGGCAGGCCUAACACAUGCAAGUCGAGCGGAUGAAGGGAGCUUUUGCCUGUCUUCAGCGGCGGACGGGUGGGUAAUGCCUAGGAAUCUGCCUGGUAGUGGGGGAUGACGUCCGUAAACGGGCGCUAAUACCGCAUACGUCCUGAUGGAGAACGUGGGGGAUCUUCGGACCACACGCGAUCAGAUGUCACUAGGUCGGAUUAGCUAGUUGGUGUGGUAACGGCCUACCAAGGCGACGAUCCGUAACUGGUCUGAGAGGAUGAUCGGUCACACUGGAACUGAGACACGGUCCAGACUCCUACGGGAGGCAGCAGUGGGGAAUAUUGGACAAUGGGCGAAAGCCUGAUGCAGCCAUGCCGCGUGUGUGAAGAAGGUCUUCGGAUUGUAAAGCACUUUAAGUUGGGAGGAAGGGCAGUAAGUUAAUACCUUGCUGUUUUGACGUUACCAACAGAAUAAGCACCGGCUAACUUCGUG
RNAcentral lists this ribosomal RNA (484 nucleotides) under uncultured bacterium. RNAcentral's name for it is "partial 16S ribosomal RNA". It matches the Rfam family "Bacterial small subunit ribosomal RNA", at positions 30 to 507 of the family's 1533-position model. The record is from RNAcentral.